CAGCCGCCGCGGUAAUACGUAGAUGGCAAGCGUUGUCCGGAAUUAUUGGGCGUAAAGGGCUCGCAGGCGGUUUCUUAAGUCUGAUGUGAAAGCCCCCGGCUCAACCGGGGAGGGUCAUUGGAAACUGGGAAAUUUGAGUGCAGAAGAGGAGAGUGGAAUUCCACGUGUAGCGGUGAAAUGCGUAGAGAUGUGGAGGAACACCAGUGGCGAAGGCGACUCUCUGGUCUGUAACUGACGCUGAGGAGCGAAAGCGUGGGGAGCGAACAGGAUUAGAUACCCCCGUAGUCCCUGUCUCUUAUAC
Molecule: ribosomal RNA, 301 nt
Filed under: uncultured bacterium
Lineage: Bacteria
Description: partial 16S ribosomal RNA
Rfam family: Bacterial small subunit ribosomal RNA
Source: RNAcentral